GACGAACGCUGGCGGCGUGCUUAACACAUGCAAGUCGAACGGUAAGGCCCUUCGGGGUACACGAGUGGCGAACGGGUGAGUAACACGUGGGUGAUCUGCCCUGCACUUCGGGAUAAGCCUGGGAAACUGGGUCUAAUACCGGAUAGGACCACUGCCUGCAUGGGUGGUGGUGGAAAGCUUUUGCGGUGUGGGAUGGGCCCGCGGCCUAUCAGCUUGUUGGUGGGGUGAUGGCCUACCAAGGCGACGACGGGUAGCCGGCCUGAGAGGGUGACCGGCCAGACUGGGACUGAGAUACGGCCCAGACUCCUACGGGGGCAGCAGUGGGGAAUAUUGCACAAUGGGCGCAAGCCUGAUGCAGCGACGCCGCGUGAGGGAUGACGGCCUUCGGGUUGUAAACCUCUUUCAGCACCGACGAAGCGCAAGUGACGGUAGGUGCAGAAGAAGGACCGGCCAACUACGUGCCAGCAGCCGCAGUAA
Molecule: ribosomal RNA, 477 nt
Filed under: uncultured bacterium
Lineage: Bacteria
Description: partial 16S ribosomal RNA
Rfam family: Bacterial small subunit ribosomal RNA
Source: RNAcentral